GGACCGCUAGCUCAUCGGGUAGAGCAGGGGCCUUUUAAGCCCAAGGUGCCGAGAUCGAGACUCGGGCGGUCCA
RNAcentral lists this transfer RNA (73 nucleotides) under Actinomycetes bacterium. RNAcentral's name for it is "tRNA-Lys". It matches the Rfam family "tRNA". From Rfam's summary of the family: Transfer RNA (tRNA) molecules are approximately 80 nucleotides in length. Their secondary structure includes four short double-helical elements and three loops (D, anti-codon, and T loops). Further hydrogen bonds mediate the characteristic L-shaped molecular structure. tRNAs have two regions of fundamental functional importance: the anti-codon, which is responsible for specific mRNA codon recognition, and the 3' end, to which the tRNAs corresponding amino acid is attached (by aminoacyl-tRNA synthetases). tRNAs cope with the degeneracy of the genetic code in two manners: having more than one tRNA (with a specific anti-codon) for a particular amino acid; and 'wobble' base-pairing, i.e. permitting non-standard base-pairing at the 3rd anti-codon position. Lineage: Bacteria; Bacillati; Actinomycetota; Actinomycetes. The record is from RNAcentral. RNAcentral also lists the same sequence under 1 other name.